This 316-nucleotide long non-coding RNA is filed under the name Dasypus novemcinctus (nine-banded armadillo). RNAcentral's name for it is "lncRNA (ENSDNOG00000052880.1)". The record is from RNAcentral. Lineage: Eukaryota; Metazoa; Chordata; Mammalia; Cingulata; Dasypodidae.
AAUCAACCUUCUUCUUUGUCUCCAAGGGACAGCUCCUGUGGGGAGAUGAUGCAGCCCAUCAUGUGUCCUAACCACUUGAGGAGGGUUACAGUGUCCUCAGCCAGGGUGACCCUUGCAUUGGAAAGCCCAAGUAGCAACUGUGACCUUUGCUGGUCCUUCAGCAACACCACAGAAGCUCACUCUUUGCAUGUUGGAAACAGAAGGAAUGAAAGGGGAUGAGAGGUCCAUUCUCUAUGCAAGGAAUGGAAGCUACUCUUCAGAUCCUUCCACAGGCCUCUCACGUCUCACCUCCGAUUCUAGAACUCUUGCUCUAAUA